GAUGAACGCUGGCGGCGUGCCUAAUACAUGCAAGUCGAGCGAACAGACGAGGAGCUUGCUCCUCUGACGUUAGCGGCGGACGGGUGAGUAACACGUGGAUAACCUACCUAUAAGACUGGGAUAACUUCGGGAAACCGGAGCUAAUACCGGAUAAUAUAUUGAACCGCAUGGUUCAAUAGUGAAAGACGGUUUUGCUGUCACUUAUAGAUGGAUCCGCGCCGCAUUAGCUAGUUGGUAAGGUAACGGCUUACCAAGGCAACGAUGCGUAGCCGACCUGAGAGGGUGAUCGGCCACACUGGAACUGAGAAACGGUCCAGACUCCUACGGGAGGCAGCAGUAGGGAAUCUUCCGCAAUGGGCGAAAGCCGGACGGAGCAACGCCGCGUGAGUGAUGAAGGUCUUCGGAUCGUAAAACUCUGUUAUUAGGGAAGAACAAAUGUGUAAGUAACUAUGCACGUCUUGACGGUACCUAAUCAGAAAGCCACGGCUAACUACGUG
RNAcentral lists this ribosomal RNA (497 nucleotides) under uncultured bacterium. RNAcentral's name for it is "partial 16S ribosomal RNA". It matches the Rfam family "Bacterial small subunit ribosomal RNA", at positions 28 to 507 of the family's 1533-position model. The record is from RNAcentral.